Long non-coding RNA from Phacochoerus africanus (Common warthog), 1316 nucleotides. RefSeq lists it as uncharacterized. Lineage: Eukaryota; Metazoa; Chordata; Mammalia; Artiodactyla; Suidae. The record is from RefSeq and is a predicted model, not a curated record. The transcript has 2 exons.
CUUGGCGCCUGCCCCCCUUCGGCCCAGGCCUGGGCGCAGACCCUCGCUAGAGCCCGCAGCUGCUUUGGGAGGGGGGGGUUCCAGGCGUCUAGGGAAUGAUGCAAGGCGGAGGAAAGCUUGGAGCUGGUGGAUCCCCGUGGGGCGCAUCCCGGAGGCCAGCCUUGGGGCUUUUGCUGCUACAUCCCCAGGGCCGCUCUGCCUCCAGCGCUUUCUGAAUCCUGGAUCUCGGCCCUCUCCAGUUCUAUGAACCACCCAGCACCGUGCCAGGACAUUUCCUUCUUGUUUAGGUUGGCCCGGGUUCGUUUCCGCGGCCGAAAACCCGAGCACCCGGUGGAAGCGACAGCUCAGCUCGCCGAACAUUCCGUGUGCUCGAUCGCCCCUCGGCGAUCCAGCCGUAAACACAGACCCCUUGGACUUGAAAAUUUCCACAAGGUGAUCAGAUAACUAAAGAGGAAGGAAUACACUGAUAGAAGGACGCCAGAUUGAAAGCCGCGCCCACGUGCUGCUAAAACAAGAAUUCGGAGGUGGUGGUCAUUAAGACAGCAGCGUCUAUUGGGACCAAGAAAGUUAAGUUGGUCUAUAUAACAGCCUUGUCCCACAGAAGUAGAAUAUAAGCCGCAAAUGUGAGACAGAGCCAUACAAAGGUGCGUCCUGCUCAGCAGUAGUCAGAGGCCCAUCGUCUUGUGCUGUGACACCCCAGGGACCCAGGGAACAGACAGGAAGCGGUGCAGGAAGGGUCCGAGGAGAUCGAAGCAGCAGGAAGUGACAGCCAGCAGGCAGGAAGAGGAAGGGGAAGACGAAAAGACAGAGGCAGCCUGGCUUCCCCGGGCACUCGCCAAAGACGCACUGAGCGCCAGCCAGGCCCUCAAAGAUGCGAGCGGGGACCAGCAGCUGGCAGAUUCGAAGGCUUCUCUUCUCAGCGCCACCCGCCAACCUUCAGACUCAGCCAGCGUCAGCGUCGGCGUUGAGGGGUUUCCAUCAGCUCCUGGCUCCUGACGGCCUCUUUGUCCUGCUGCCCCGCCCUUACCCCCCAGGAGCAGGUGGCCGAGGAGUGAGGACCCCUUCUCUCGAGGCAGGAGGGGGACCCCAUCAGUGCUUCCUUUGUGGGUCUUGCCCGACGUGGGGGGGAUGAAGGGAGGAGGGCGCCGAGGUGCCCAGCCACCCCCCACCCCCCACCCUCAGAGCAACAGGGCCGCUAGAACGUUCUGCAGCGGCCAGGACAAUAGGCAUCAGCCACGCGGAUCUCCAGAUGCGGCACCUGAAAUACGGCUCGGGCCACAUUUCAAAAUAAAGCAUUUAAUGGGGUUUCAGUUUAA